This is a long non-coding RNA of Populus nigra (black poplar), 1932 nucleotides long. RefSeq lists it as uncharacterized. Lineage: Eukaryota; Viridiplantae; Streptophyta; Magnoliopsida; Malpighiales; Salicaceae. The transcript is spliced from 3 exons. The record is from RefSeq and is a predicted model, not a curated record.
UAUCUAUUUUGUUGUUUUCAAUUAUUAUUUAUUUGGGUUGUUCGAUCACUUUUUUAUGGGCUUUGUUGUUUGGGCUUUGGGCUAGGGAACAUAUUGCUCAGAUGGGCUUCUUAUGUGUUUAGCUGGGCUUAGAAGAGAGUUUUUUUUUAUUUUGCAACUUCAGUGCUUUGCCAUUCAAGGACCGUUUCCCAUGGUAUCUUCUCCGACAGCCCUCCACCAGUUUUUACUGGUCAGUCAUUUGAGAAAGACAUGGAAGAGGCGAUAAAGCAAAUUUUGGAUUCUCCUAUGAAUACCAGUUAGUGGAUGUUGGAUGUGCCCGAUUACCAUCGAAGAGGCGAGACUGCUCCUUCUCGUUGGUUCUAUCAAGAUGAGGGAGAGGCUGAAUAUGUUGUUAAUGUUUAUAUUUAGAUGCGUUUGCCAGGAUAUCCUGCAAGCAAGAUCUCCAUCGUUGACAACUAACAAUGGCCAAAAACUUCGUGAUGUUAUCAACAGAAGAUGUGUUCCUCAUGACUUCAUUGGCCCACCCAGCAAGGUCUCUGUUUGGACAGUGUUAUGAACUGCGGCCUACAUUUCAACUUCUGCUUCAGAGACCCGAUCACCUUGCACUGAAUUUUGGUGGAGUUUCGACAUAUACAGAGCGGCAAGUUGAAGACGCUGGACAUCCUUAUUUUGUUACAGUGUUGAGGAGGUGGGACACAUUGUAAUGGAUAAAAUGAAUCGACUGUAUCAGGUCGAGGAACAGUCUAAAGAGGCUUGCUGACUUAUAACCUAACUUAAGCUAUGGUCACAUGCACAAAGAAACUAGCAUCUGCCAAUAGCAUGGUAAAUUUUGAAGGGAAACCUGCCUUAAGUUAGGUGAAAGCUGCUCCCUCUGAGCAUUGCAGCGGGACAAAUAAAGCAUUUGAGGUUGAUGAAGGUUAUAUAUAUCGCUGUGAGUCAACUCUCACCUAAUAAAUUGUAGUUAGUGUGAAGGAUCAAACUUUUGAUAACACCUUUGGCUGUCUUGUUUUAUAUCCAUCCACUAUCUUCUCCUAAGAAAAUCUUCUGCAUUUUUUUUUCUUGCCUGUUAUUAUUAAAAUGGUAUCUGGCUUGUGCUUGGGUGAUGGUGUUGUACAUUCAAGGUGCACCAUGUAUAGCUCAAAGCAGCGAAAGGCUUGUGAUUUUGCUAAGGUAUGGUGAAGUAGCUGAAAUGGAAAACCUUGGGCUCAGUCAUAUGCCAAGUUACUUGAUAUUCAUUUUGCACGCUGGAGAAACCCUUUUCCAGUCUGUGACGUGGUGCACACGGGCACUGUUGUUUUACAAUUAAUCCACUUGCAACUUUUUUUAUGGUCUCGUAAGAAGUUCCAGCAGCUAAAGUCACGGUUUCUCACGUUUGAUGAGCUAUCAGCUUGAGCAGUACAUGGCUUAUUCAUCCGAUGGACCUGCUCCUGCUCCUGCAAAUGGGGCAGUUGAUGAUACACCAGUCUGAUGAACCUAAAGAGAUGGACGGGAUUGCAAACCGUGAAGAUGGGGAUUUGCCACCUGAGAAGCAAUUAAAUGAGGGAAAGGAGAGUGAGGCUUCCCCAAAUGAUGAAAACCAGAAAGAGAUAUGAAUGGGGAAUCAUGCACGGGGUAGCAGAGUAGCCUCAUUGAUACGGUGAAUUUACUCUCCCCCCGUAAUCACAGCCAUAAGCAUAACUUGCCGAUGGAGUGAUUGGCGUGAUGCCAAUCGGUAACUGUUCAGCUCAGUUGAAAGAUGAUAUAGCUGGAAAAACAGGGCUUAGGUUUCAAGCAUAUCAUCAUCACAUUAUACCAGGUGCUGGAAAUUGAUAAUCCCUGUCUCUCCCUUUUGAGGAUUAUUACUGUUAAUUCAUGAGUAUCAUCACAUUACCAUGUUGAUUUUGGUAGAUGAACCUUUCCUUGCAAAAAUAGAACUAUCAGAUUUUUGGCUCC